This 468-nucleotide ribosomal RNA is filed under the name uncultured bacterium. RNAcentral describes it as "partial 16S ribosomal RNA". It matches the Rfam family "Bacterial small subunit ribosomal RNA", at positions 28 to 507 of the family's 1533-position model. The record is from RNAcentral.
GAUGAACGCUGGCGGCGUGCUUAACACAUGCAAGUCGAACGGUGAGGGCGGAGCUUGCUCUGCUGGAUCAGUGGCGAACGGGUGAGUAACACGUGAGCAAUCUGCCCCUGACUCUGGGAUAAGCGCUGGAAACGGCGUCUAAUACUGGAUACGAGCUGCGACGGCAUCUUCAGCAGCUGAAAAGAACUGCGGUCGGGGAUGAGCUCGCGGCCUAUCAGCUUGUUGGUGGGGUAACGGCUCACCAAGGCGUCGACGGGUAGCCGGCCUGAGAGGGUGACCGGCCACACUGGGACUGAGACACGGCCCAGACUCCUACGGGAGGCAGCAGUGGGGAAUAUUGCACAAUGGGCGAAAGCCUGAUGCAGCAACGCCGCGUGAGGGAUGACGGCCUUCGGGUUGUAAACCUCUUUUGGCAGGGAAGAAGCGAGAGUGACGGUACUUGGAGAAAAAGCGCCGGCUAACUACGUG